GCGUCCAUUGUCUAAUGGAUAGGACAC
RNAcentral lists this transfer RNA (27 nucleotides) under Androsace hausmannii. RNAcentral's name for it is "partial tRNA-Arg". The record is from RNAcentral. RNAcentral also lists the same sequence under 2 other names. Lineage: Eukaryota; Viridiplantae; Streptophyta; Magnoliopsida; Ericales; Primulaceae.